ACUCAAAGGAAUAGACGGGGGCCCGCACAAGCAGCGGAGCGUGUGGUUUAAUUCGAUGAUACACGAAGCACCUUACCAGGGUUUGACAUGGGCGUUGUAGUGAAGCGAAAGCCGAACGACCCUUCGGGGAGCGUCCACAGGUGCUGCAUGGCUGUCGUCAGCUCGUGCCGUGAGGUGUUAGGUUAAGUCCUAUAACGAGCGCAGCCCCUACUGCCAGUUACACGUGUCUGGCGGGACUGCCGGUCAUAAGCCGGAGGAAGGUGGGGACGACGUCAAGUCCGCAUGGCCUUUAUAUCCUGGGCGACACACACGCUACAAUGGCCGGUACAAUGGGUUGCCAACGCGCGAGCGGGAGCUAAUCCCCUAAAACCGGCCUCAGUUCGGAUUGUAGGCUGCAACCCGCCUGCAUGAAGCUGGAGUUGCUAGUAAACGCGCGUCAGCUAUAGUGCGUUGAAUACGUUCCCGGGCCUUGUACACACCGCCCGU
Molecule: ribosomal RNA, 486 nt
Filed under: uncultured bacterium
Lineage: Bacteria
Description: partial 16S ribosomal RNA
Rfam family: Bacterial small subunit ribosomal RNA
Source: RNAcentral